GCACAAGCGGUGGAGCAUGUGGUUAAUUCGAAGCAACGCGAAGAACCUUACCAGGUCUUGACAUCCCGAUGCUAUUUCUAGAGAUAGAAAGUUACUUCGGUACAUCGGUGACAGGUGGUGCAUGGUUGUCGUCAGCUCGUGUCGUGAGAUGUUGGGUUAAGUCCCGCAACGAGCGCAACCCCUAUUGUUAGUUGCCAUCAUUCAGUUGGGCACUCUAGCGAGACUGCCGGUAAUAAACCGGAGGAAGGUGGGGAUGACGUCAAAUCAUCAUGCCCCUUAUGACCUGGGCUACACACGUGCUACAAUGGUUGGUACAACGAGUUGCGAGUCGGUGACGGCGAGCUAAUCUCUUAAAGCCAAUCUCAGUUCGGAUUGUAGGCUGCAACUCGCCUACAUGAAGUCGGAAUCGCUAGUAAUCGCGGAUCAGCACGCCGCGGUGAAUACGUUCCCGGGUCUU
This 457-nucleotide ribosomal RNA is filed under the name uncultured Streptococcus sp. RNAcentral describes it as "bacterial SSU rRNA". It matches the Rfam family "Bacterial small subunit ribosomal RNA", at positions 923 to 1382 of the family's 1533-position model. The record is from RNAcentral. Lineage: Bacteria; Bacillati; Bacillota; Bacilli; Lactobacillales; Streptococcaceae.